AUGAGGUCAAAGUCCGCGAGCGAAACUCAAAUUGGAGGUUUUCUUUAUUGGAACUAUGUUUAUUUUUAUUUGUUUUUCGGAAUUUGGUUGGGUGCUCUUUUACCUUGGAAAAUUAUAGUUGCCCUAUGGAGAGUAGCAGCGCCCACGAAUGAGAUAAAUACUAUUGUUGCUUUAGCUUUACUGAUGUCGAUGGCCUAUUUUUAUGCUGGUCUUAGCAAAAAAGAAUAGAGCUAUUUCAAGAAAUAUAUUAAACCAACUCCAAUCCUUUCACCAAUUAACAUCCUACUAGAAGAUUUCAGAAAACCAUUUUCGGUGAUGGGCAUGACUUUGUGCCCGUCACUGGUAAAUGGUCAGAUUACCGGUGGUGAGUGCCAAUGUCCUGUCCAACAUUAA
Molecule: ribosomal RNA, 393 nt
Filed under: Triticum aestivum (bread wheat)
Lineage: Eukaryota; Viridiplantae; Streptophyta; Magnoliopsida; Poales; Poaceae
Description: partial small subunit ribosomal RNA
Source: RNAcentral